Molecule: ribosomal RNA, 253 nt
Filed under: uncultured bacterium
Lineage: Bacteria
Description: partial 16S ribosomal RNA
Rfam family: Bacterial small subunit ribosomal RNA
Source: RNAcentral
UACGUAGGGGGCAAGCGUUGUUCGGAUUCAUUGGGCGUAAAGGGUGCGUAGGCGGCGCGGUAAGUCGGGUGUGAAAUCUCGGGGCUUAACUCCGAAACUGCAUUCGAUACUGUCGUGCUUGAGGACUGGAGAGGAGACUGGAAUUUACGGUGUAGCGGUGAAAUGCGUAGAUAUCGUAAGGAAGACCAGUGGCGAAGGCGGGUCUCUGGACAGUUCCUGACGCUGAGGCACGAAGGCUAGGGGAGCAAACGGG